Molecule: ribosomal RNA, 301 nt
Filed under: uncultured bacterium
Lineage: Bacteria
Description: partial 16S ribosomal RNA
Rfam family: Bacterial small subunit ribosomal RNA
Source: RNAcentral
CAGUCGCCACGGUAAAACGUAGGGUGCAAGCGUUAAUCGGAAUUACUGAGCGUAAAGCGUGCGCAGGCGGUUAUGCAAGACAGAUGUGAAAUCCCCGGGCUCAACCUGGGAACUGCAUUUGUGACUGCAUGGCUAGAGUACGGUAGAGGGGGAUGGAAUUCCGCGUGUAGCAGUGAAAUGCGUAGAUAUGCGGAGGAACACCGAUGGCGAAGGCAAUCCCCUGGACCUGUACUGACGCUCAUGCACGAAAGCGUGGGGAGCAAACAGGAUUAGAUACCCCUGUAGUCCCUGUCUCUUAUAC